GUCUCGCUUCGGAGGUACACAUACUAAAAUUGGAACGAUACAUAGAUGAUCAGCAUUGCCCCUGCGCAAGAGUGACACGUAAAACGUGAAGCGUCCCAUAUUUUC
Small nuclear RNA from Schistocerca cancellata (South American locust), 105 nucleotides. The record is from RefSeq and is a predicted model, not a curated record. Lineage: Eukaryota; Metazoa; Arthropoda; Insecta; Orthoptera; Acrididae.